GUGCUUGCUUCAGCAGCAUGCAUACUAAAAUUGGAAUGAUACAGAGAAGACUAGUCUGACCCCUGCACAAGGAUGAUACACAAAUUUGUGACAUGUUCCAUAUUAAA
This is a small nuclear RNA of Echinops telfairi (small Madagascar hedgehog), 107 nucleotides long. The record is from Ensembl. Lineage: Eukaryota; Metazoa; Chordata; Mammalia; Afrosoricida; Tenrecidae.